GCCCAUAUAUCCCGCUUGGUAGACAUACUUCUUUAUAUGCCCAUAUGAACAAGAGCAGCUAUGGAAUGUAAAGAAGUAUGUAUCCCAGGUGAGAGAAAAACGGGGC
This 106-nucleotide microRNA precursor is filed under the name Danio rerio (zebrafish). RNAcentral describes it as "microRNA dre-mir-1 precursor (dre-mir-1-1)". Its record names the gene dre-mir-1-1. The stretch from base 14 to 90 matches the Rfam family "mir-1 microRNA precursor family". Rfam says of the family: This family represents the microRNA (miRNA) mir-1 family. miRNAs are transcribed as ~70nt precursors (modelled here) and subsequently processed by the Dicer enzyme to give a ~22nt product. In this case the mature sequence comes from the 3' arm of the precursor. The extents of the hairpin precursors are not generally known and are estimated based on hairpin prediction. The record is from miRBase by way of RNAcentral. Lineage: Eukaryota; Metazoa; Chordata; Actinopteri; Cypriniformes; Danionidae.